Molecule: ribosomal RNA, 450 nt
Filed under: uncultured bacterium
Lineage: Bacteria
Description: partial 16S ribosomal RNA
Rfam family: Bacterial small subunit ribosomal RNA
Source: RNAcentral
GUAGGGAAUAUUGCGCAAUGGGCGAAAGCCUGAUCCAGCCAUGCCGCGUGUGUGAAGAAGGUCUUCGGAUUGUAAAGCACUUUAAGUUGGGAGGAAGGGCAGUAAGUUAAUACCUUGCUGUUUUGACGUUACCGACAGAAUAAGCACCGGCUAACUUCGUGCCAGCAGCCGCGGUAAUACGAAGGGUGCAAGCGUUAAUCGGAAUUACUGGGCGUAAAGCGCGCGUAGGUGGUUUUGUAAGUUGGAGGUGAAAUCCCCGGGCUCAACCUGGGAACUGCCUCCAAAACUGCAUGACUAGAGUACGGUAGAGGGUAGUGGAAUUUCCUGUGUAGCGGUGAAAUGCGUAGAUAUAGGAAGGAACACCAGUGGCGAAGGCGACUACCUGGACUGAUACUGACACUGAGGUGCGAAAGCGUGGGGAGCAAACAGGAUUAGAAACCCCGGUAGUCC